Molecule: long non-coding RNA, 1080 nt
Organism: Nothoprocta perdicaria
Lineage: Eukaryota; Metazoa; Chordata; Aves; Tinamiformes; Tinamidae
Exons: 4
Source: RefSeq, a predicted model, not a curated record
GUAUAGCUCCUGGGGCUGCCUUACCCACUGUCAUGAACUGUAGAUCUGGAUCUUUGGACUAAUGAGCUUGCUCCAAUUAGACUGGAGGUCUAGAAAAAUAUAUCUACCUUUGACCUUAUAGCAUUGGCUUGGGCAAGGAGAAAAUAGGAGCAACAGUCAAUUCUAUCCCUCUCUGAACAAAAAGGAAGACACUGUGUCUCCUGCACUGUUGCUUUAAAUACCAAAGAUGUCUCAGAGGCAUAUUAUGGGAGAAGACCGAUCUAACCAUAUCUGCUAAGCUAARUGAAUGUACAGCAGUAAUAUUUCUUCUGUUACUACAUCUAUUAAAAGGAUUAGACAUGAACAAAUGAUUUCUGACCUUCUCUGCAUGCUUGAUGAGGCUGUGAGGAUGUGUUCUUCAAACUAGAACAUCUUUUUUUUUAAUCUUUCUCUGAAGUACCAGUUUCUCAAGACAACUAGUUCUGCUUGUGAUACCAGCACCAGUGGGAGAGCUCCUCCAAGCUGCCCCGUGGAAAAGGAAGUUACUGCUUUGGUUCAUUCUUUGUUCAAAGAAUUGUUCAUUGAGCACAGCCACAGAAUCAAGCAUUAUUCUGAGCUGUACCUCUGUGAGGAUAGAAGAAUUCUACUUGGAAGGAAAGAAAGCAAAGCAAGACUUGCAUAAGUCACAGUUUUCCUCCAGCCUUCUUUUUUUUUUUAACUGCUGGAAAUGGCCCAUCAGCAGGAAGAAAAAGAUACAUGACCAUACAGCCUGGUUUUCAAUUCCCAAUUGAAUUUACAGGCCAAUAGUGGAAGUGCUUUAUCUCAAAACACUGCUCAUAAUAGUCCCUUGCUGGUUCUGUAGUAGACUUUUGAGAAACAAAUAUGUGUUCUCAUGCAUGCACCAGAUUGCGCUGCAGGCUCUGCAUGAUCAGAUGACAUUUGGCUGCUAUCAACAGCAACAGUUCUUCUUCACUAGUCUGUCUAAAACAGCCUUGUCUUCUGUAUUCCAAGAAAUAAUUGUUAAUGUGCUAUGGAGGUAUGUGUUUAAACCUAAAGGCAAGAAUACAUAUAGGACUCAUACAAAGUCCUACAAUCGCUUCC